Molecule: ribosomal RNA, 827 nt
Filed under: Thyronectria asturiensis
Lineage: Eukaryota; Fungi; Ascomycota; Sordariomycetes; Hypocreales; Nectriaceae
Description: LSU rRNA
Rfam family: Eukaryotic large subunit ribosomal RNA
Source: RNAcentral
GCCCUAGUAACGGCGAGUGAAGCGGCAACAGCUCAAAUUUGAAAUCUGGCCCUCGUGGUCCGAGUUGUAAUUUGUAGAGGAUGCUUUUGGUGCGGUCCUUCCGAGUUCCCUGGAACGGGACGCCAUAGAGGGUGAGAGCCCCGUCUGGUCGGAUACCAAUCCUCUGUAAAGCUCCUUCGACGAGUCGAGUAGUUUGGGAAUGCUGCUCUAAAUGGGAGGUAUAUGUCUUCUAAAGCUAAAUAUAGGCCAGAGACCGAUAGCGCACAAGUAGAGUGAUCGAAAGAUGAAAAGCACUUUGAAAAGAGGGUUAAACAGUACGUGAAAUUGUUGAAAGGGAAGCGUUUGUGACCAGACUUGGGCUCGGUCAAUCAUCCAGCGUUCUCGCUGGUGCACUUGUCCGGGUCCAGGCCAGCAUCAGUUCGCUGCGGGGGAAAAAGGCUUCGGGAAUGUGGCUCCUCGGAGUGUUAUAGCCCGUUGCACAAUACCCUGCGGUGGACUGAGGUUCGCGCUUCUGCAAGGAUGCUGGCGUAAUGGUCAUCAACGACCCGUCUUGAAACACGGACCAAGGAGUCGUCUUCGUAUGCGAGUGUUCGGGUGUCAAACCCCUACGCGUAAUGAAAGUGAACGGAGGUGGGAGCCUUCUGGCGCACCAUCGACCGAUCCUGAUGUUUUCGGAUGGAUUUGAGUAAGAGCAUACGGGGCCGGACCCGAAAGAAGGUGAACUAUGCCUGUAUAGGGUGAAGCCAGAGGAAACUCUGGUGGAGGCUCGCAGCGGUUCUGACGUGCAAAUCGAUCGUCAAAUAUGGCAUGGGGCGAAAGACUAAUCG